Molecule: non-coding RNA, 30 nt
Filed under: Rattus norvegicus (Norway rat)
Lineage: Eukaryota; Metazoa; Chordata; Mammalia; Rodentia; Muridae
Source: RNAcentral
UCCAUACGGGAGAAAGACCUUACAUGUGCA